Molecule: ribosomal RNA, 253 nt
Filed under: uncultured bacterium
Lineage: Bacteria
Description: partial 16S ribosomal RNA
Rfam family: Bacterial small subunit ribosomal RNA
Source: RNAcentral
GACGUAGGGCGCGAGCGUUGUCCGGAUUUAUUGGGCGUAAAGAGCUCGUAGGCGGCCUGUUGCGUCCGCUGUGAAAGCCCGGGGCUUAACCCCGGGUCGGCAGUGGAUACGGGCAGGCUAGAGGUAGGUAGGGGAGAAUGGAAUUCCCGGUGUAGCGGUGAAAUGCGCAGAUAUCGGGAGGAACACCUGAGGUGAAGACGGGUUGCUGGGCUGACACUGACGCUGAGGCGCGAAAGCCAGGGGAGCAAACGGG